This 751-nucleotide ribosomal RNA is filed under the name Streptomyces sp. B1Y16. RNAcentral describes it as "bacterial SSU rRNA". It matches the Rfam family "Bacterial small subunit ribosomal RNA", at positions 73 to 837 of the family's 1533-position model. The record is from RNAcentral. Lineage: Bacteria; Bacillati; Actinomycetota; Actinomycetes; Kitasatosporales; Streptomycetaceae.
ACCUCCUUCGGGAGGGGAUUAGUGGCGAACGGGUGAGUAACACGUGGGCAAUCUGCCCUUCACUCUGGGACAAGCCCUGGAAACGGGGUCUAAUACCGGAUACGAGCCUCCAAGGCAUCUUGGAGGUUGGAAAGCUCCGGCGGUGAAGGAUGAGCCCGCGGCCUAUCAGCUUGUUGGUGAGGUAAUGGCUCACCAAGGCGACGACGGGUAGCCGGCCUGAGAGGGCGACCGGCCACACUGGGACUGAGACACGGCCCAGACUCCUACGGGAGGCAGCAGUGGGGAAUAUUGCACAAUGGGCGAAAGCCUGAUGCAGCGACGCCGCGUGAGGGAUGACGGCCUUCGGGUUGUAAACCUCUUUCAGCAGGGAAGAAGCGAAAGUGACGGUACCUGCAGAAGAAGCGCCGGCUAACUACGUGCCAGCAGCCGCGGUAAUACGUAGGGCGCAAGCGUUGUCCGGAAUUAUUGGGCGUAAAGAGCUCGUAGGCGGCUUGUCACGUCGGGUGUGAAAGCCCGGGGCUUAACCCCGGGUCUGCAUUCGAUACGGGCUAGCUAGAGUGUGGUAGGGGAGAUCGGAAUUCCUGGUGUAGCGGUGAAAUGCGCAGAUAUCAGGAGGAACACCGGUGGCGAAGGCGGAUCUCUGGGCCAUUACUGACGCUGAGGAGCGAAAGCGUGGGGAGCGAACAGGAUUAGAUACCCUGGUAGUCCACGCCGUAAACGGUGGGAACUAGGUGUUGGCGACAUUCCACGU